Molecule: long non-coding RNA, 289 nt
Organism: Thalassophryne amazonica
Lineage: Eukaryota; Metazoa; Chordata; Actinopteri; Batrachoidiformes; Batrachoididae
Exons: 3
Source: RefSeq, a predicted model, not a curated record
UUUGCAGCCACUGAGCUAGCUGUAGGCUCUGCUAUCGGACACACGAUUGGCCAUGCAGUGACUGGAGGCUUUAGUGGAGGACAGUCAGAAGCUACUAAGCCUGAUGUCACCUACCAGGAGCCGUACCAGCAGCAGCCACAGUCCAUGUACCAGCUGGAGGCGCCACAACAACAGGCCUGUGCCUAUGAGCUCAGACAGUUCAUUGAAUGCGCUCACAGAGCGACCUCAAACUGUGCGAGGGCUUCAGCAAGGUUCUCAAACAGUGCACGUUGGCUAAUGGCCUUUCACG